UACAGAGGUCUCAAGCGUUGUUCGGAUUUAUUGGGCGUAAAGGGUGCGUAGGCGGCGCGGUAAGUCGGGUGUGAAAUCUCGGAGCUUAACUCCGAAACUGCAUUCGAUACUGCCGUGCUUGAGGACUGGAGAGGAGACUGGAAUUUACGGUGUAGCGGUGAAAUGCGUAGAUAUCGUAAGGAAGACCAGUGGCGAAGGCGGGUCUCUGGACAGUUCCUGACGCUGAGGCACGAAGGCCAGGGGAGCAAACAGG
RNAcentral lists this ribosomal RNA (253 nucleotides) under uncultured bacterium. Its description in RNAcentral is "partial 16S ribosomal RNA". It matches the Rfam family "Bacterial small subunit ribosomal RNA", at positions 524 to 776 of the family's 1533-position model. The record is from RNAcentral.